GCCUGGCUGGUUCAGUUGGUAGAGCGUGCAACUCUUGAUCUCAGAGUCAUGAGUUCAAGCCGCAUGUUGGGCA
Molecule: transfer RNA, 73 nt
Filed under: Mustela putorius furo (domestic ferret)
Lineage: Eukaryota; Metazoa; Chordata; Mammalia; Carnivora; Mustelidae
Also listed under: 2 other names
Rfam family: tRNA
About the family: Transfer RNA (tRNA) molecules are approximately 80 nucleotides in length. Their secondary structure includes four short double-helical elements and three loops (D, anti-codon, and T loops). Further hydrogen bonds mediate the characteristic L-shaped molecular structure. tRNAs have two regions of fundamental functional importance: the anti-codon, which is responsible for specific mRNA codon recognition, and the 3' end, to which the tRNAs corresponding amino acid is attached (by aminoacyl-tRNA synthetases). tRNAs cope with the degeneracy of the genetic code in two manners: having more than one tRNA (with a specific anti-codon) for a particular amino acid; and 'wobble' base-pairing, i.e. permitting non-standard base-pairing at the 3rd anti-codon position.
Source: Rfam by way of RNAcentral